This is a non-coding RNA of Oryzias latipes (Japanese medaka), 1153 nucleotides long. Lineage: Eukaryota; Metazoa; Chordata; Actinopteri; Beloniformes; Adrianichthyidae. The record is from RefSeq and is a predicted model, not a curated record.
GAUGUUUACCUGUGUAACUGAAAGACGGGGACGGCUUUAUUAAUGAAUGAGGAUUUGCAAUGCACCUGCUGGUUCUGUGCCAGAUGAGCCGAUCGCUUUCCACGGGAGACAAUCGUGCCUGCUCGUGCUCCACAGACGUUCUGAGUGAAAAGACGUCUCUAUUGUCUGCACCUGUGUUUGAUCAUCAUGUGAGAUUACCUGUCAACACUCAGCGAUGCGGCACAAAACAUCUCUUCUCCCUGCCUGGCUCGCCUCCAGUCUGUCUGCUGCAGUGAGAGUGAAGCUGGAGUUCAGAUGCUGCAGCACGUGCAACAGGGCAAUGUGGAGCCUUCCAGAAAAGUGACACCACCAAGCAGUCUCGCCAAGGCAACACCAAGGGAACAUGAACACAAAUUCUGCAACAAACCUAUGAUGCCAAUAACAUCACACCCCAUUUUGCAAGUAAACUGCUCAGAACACCAGUCCAUCUUUUAAAAAUGCUUAAACCUUUGCAGGGUCAUGGGGAUGCUGGAGCCUAUCCCCAUCCAAGUCCAUUUCAGCACCACACUCACAUACCAAAGACACAAUUUGGAGUCACCAAUCUACCUAUGAAACAUGUUUGUGGACUGAGGUGAAGCUGGAUGGCCUGGAGGAAACCCGCACAUGCUUACAGGAGGGCCCAGCUUUGAGCCAGCCUUCUCACUGUGAGCGGAGGUGCUAACCACUGUGCAGCCCAUUCUCAAAGGAGCUCACCAUAAAACCACAAAGCUUACUGUAUAUUUCAUUGAGCAACACAAUAUCAUGCAUUCAGCACAUCCACAUGCUCCGUUUUUUAUGUAAACCAACCAAAACAAAAAGUGGGCUACGGCCAGCUGUUUGGUGUGUGAAACAGUGGCAUCCAUGCUCAAGCCAUGAAGAUGCUGAACCAAGCGUACAAGCAUGCUCCAGCAUGGCUCAGUACAAAGUUCUGGGUGAGAGGCCUUCAGUCCGGCUCUUUACACUGAGUCUUUGUUUAGUUUUUAUACCUGUUGACAUGUUGUUAUCCGUCAUUCUUGCAGUCAAAUAAAUGACAUUUAAAUUACAGCAUAAUCCAGAUUUCAUUUUAAUGUAAUUUACAGUAAGCAUUGAAAGUAAUUACAUCUCCUUCGUGUUUAAAUAAAACAUCAUAAACCUU